RNAcentral lists this microRNA precursor (102 nucleotides) under Pelobates cultripes (western spadefoot toad). The record is from RNAcentral. Lineage: Eukaryota; Metazoa; Chordata; Amphibia; Anura; Pelobatidae.
UGUGUUUGUAGUGUGUGUAUAUAAUGCAGUGUGUUUGUGUAGUGUGCAUUAUAUAAACACACUACACAAACACACUGCAUUAUAUACACACACUGCACAAUA